GCUCCCAGUGUCCCCAGUGCCACUCACCGCGCCAUGGGACAAGGUCAGUGACAUGGUCACCCUGGUGUCCCCAGUGCUCCCAGUGUCCCCAGUGCCACUCACCACGGUGUGGGACAAGGUCAGUGACGUGGUCACCCAGGUGUCCCCAGUGUCCCCAGUGUCCCCAGUGCCACUCACCACGCCAUGGGACAAGGUCAGUGACAUGGUCACCCAGGUGUCCCCAGUGUCCCCAGUGCUCCCAGUGUCCCCAGUGCCACUCACCACGCCAUGGGACAAGGUCAGUGACGUGGUCACUCUGGUGUCCCCAGUGCUCCCCAGUGUCCCCAGUGCUCCCCAGUGCCACUCACCACGCUGUGGGACAAGGUCAGUGACAUGGUCACCCUGGUGUCCCCAGUGCUCCCAGUGUCCCCAGUGCCACUCACCACGGUGUGGGACAAGGUCAGUGACAUGGUCACCCAGGUGUCCCCAGUGCUCCCAGUGCUCCCAGUGUCCCCAGUGCCACUCACCACAGUGUGGGACAAGGUCAGUGACAUGGUCACCCAGGUGUCCCCAGUGCUCCCAGUGCU
Corvus hawaiiensis (hawaiian crow) is the source of this 566-nucleotide long non-coding RNA. RefSeq lists it as uncharacterized. The transcript is spliced from 3 exons. The record is from RefSeq and is a predicted model, not a curated record. Lineage: Eukaryota; Metazoa; Chordata; Aves; Passeriformes; Corvidae.